CUUCUUUUCUAUUUUGCCUCUCUCUCUCUCUCUCUCUCUCUCUCUCUAUAUCUGUUUAUUUUCUCUUUCGCUCCUCCGCUGUAGAAAAUCUAGAAUCCCCUUCUUCUUUCCAAUUCGUUUCCCUCCACAGAUCUCCAAAUUCCCUCUCUCCAACCCUAAAUUCAUCGUCCCACACUCCCUCUCAACAAUUCACACUGAUCCAUUUUCUGUGCGCGGAUGAUUCUAGAAACUUCCAUGAACCUUCCCGGUAAGGCUCGUUUCGCUGCUCUCUUCAUGGACCACCGCCACCCUUACCAUGCCUGAGCUGCGUAGCAGACCACGCAGAACCCGGGCACCCAAAAACGCCGACCCGAUUCUGAGCCAGAACCCGAACCCGAUCACCCAGCCUCAGCCUCAACCACCUCAGAAGCUAACUGUGCGGAAGAGUAGGACCGCACAGAACAAGAAGAAUAAGGAAAAGAAGGCAGUUGGUGUCGGCAAGAGGAGGAGGGCGAGGGCUGGUCCGGUCAUUGAAACGAGGUCGUUUAAGUUAGACGAAGAACAGGCUGGUGGUGAGGGAGCCAUGGAUGAGUACGAUAGCGGUGGCCGCAGUGCCGAUAAAGGUCCCGGAGCUGAGGAUGAGGGCUUAGCUCCUAUUCCCGAGAAGGUCCAGGUUGGUGGUUCCCCAGUAUACAAAAUAGAAAAGAAAUUGGGGAAAGGAGGCUUUGGACAAGUGUAUGUAGGUCGACGCAUGGGGACUGGCCCUGGAGCUGUUGAGGUUGCGUUGAAAUUUGAGCAUAGAAGCAGCAAAGGAUGUAACUAUGGCCCACCUUACGAAUGGCAAAUUUACAAUGCACUUGGCGGUAGUCAUGGGGUGCCACGAGUUCAUUAUAAGGGCCGUCAAGCUGACUACUACAUCAUGGUGAUGGAUAUGCUUGGACCUAGCUUGUGGGAUGUCUGGAAUAACAGCUCACACACGAUGUCAAUUGAAAUGGUUGCGUGUAUUGCCAUUGAGGCAAUAUCCAUAUUGGAGAAGAUGCACUCUAGAGGAUAUGUACAUGGGGAUGUGAAACCUGAGAACUUUUUGCUUGGUCCCCCUGGUACUCUUGAGGAGAAGAAGCUGUUUCUUGUUGACCUUGGAUUAGCCACCAGGUGGCGAGAUUCGACUGGCCAGCAUGUUGACUAUGAUCAACGACCAGAUGUUUUCAGGGGAACGGUAAGGUAUGCAAGUGUGCAUGCUCAUCUUGGUAGAACUGGCAGCAGGCGAGAUGACUUGGAAUCUCUAGCUUACACACUGAUAUUUCUUCUUCGUGGCCGGUUGCCAUGGCAAGGAUAUCAGGGAGAAAAUAAAGGAUUCCUUGUCUGCAAGAAAAAGAUGGUCACUUCCCCAGAAACUCUCUGUUGCUUCUGCCCUCAACCAUUCAGACAGUUUCUUGAGUAUGUGGUGAAUUUGAAGUUUGACGAAGAACCGAACUAUGCAAAAUAUAUAUCCCUUUUUGAUGGGAUUGUUGGUCCAAAUCCAGAUAUCAGGCCAAUAAAUACUGAUGGUGCUCAGAAGCUUAUAUGUCAGGUUGGACAAAAGAGAGGAAGAUUGACCAUGGAGGAGGAGGAUGAUGAGCAACCAAAGAAGAAGAUUCGUAUGGGGAUGCCUGCAACACAAUGGAUUAGUGUAUACAAUGCUCGUAGGCCUAUGAAGCAAAGAUAUCACUAUAAUGUUGCGGAUGUGAGGCUCUCCCAACACAUUGAGAAAGGAAAUGAGGAUGGGUUAUUUAUUAGCAGUGUGGCUUCCUGUUCAAAUCUUUGGGCUCUUAUAAUGGAUGCUGGCACUGGCUUCAGUUCCCAAGUUUAUGAACUUUCUCCCUAUUUUCUUCAUAAGGAAUGGAUUAUGGAGCAAUGGGACAAAAACUACUAUAUCAGCGCAAUAGCAGGAACUAGCAAUGGAAGCUCAUUAGUUGUAAUGUCUAAAGGGACACAAUUCUUACAGCAGUCAUAUAAAGUCAGUGAGUCAUUUCCUUUCAAGUGGAUUAAUAAAAAAUGGAGGGAAGGAUUUUAUGUUACUGCAAUGGCCACUGCCGGGAGUAGAUGGGCUAUUGUUAUGUCCCGUGGUGCAGGAUUUUCUGACCAGGUUGUGGAACUAGAUUUCCUGUAUCCAAGUGAAGGCAUUCAUCGAAGGUGGGAUCAUGGUUUCCGCAUCACGUCAACUGCAGCAACUUGGGAUCAGGCAGCUUUUGUCCUUAGUGUUCCGAGGAGAAAACUGGCAGAUGAAACUCAAGAGACGCUUCGAACUUCUGCUUUUCCUAGUACUCAUGUUAAGGAGAAAUGGGCAAAAAAUCUGUAUAUUGCAUCUAUUUGUUAUGGUCGAACUGUCUCAUGAACAGCCAAAGUUAUGUUGGGAUGCCACUGAUGAAAUUCUGACGAUUCACCUUUAUGAACCACAAGCCAGCUUUUACCAUUUAGUGACUGUUCAGAAGCAAAAAUCCUCUCACGGAAAAUUUGAUUGGUCUUUGCAUAUGGGAGUUGAUGUCUUUGAAGCAGAACCACAAUAGGGAAGGUUAUAUUGCACCAAUUGAUGAAGUAAGACCCGUGAUGCCAAGAAAGGAAAGACCACCUAUCUUAACAUUGAUAUAGGUGAGCUGCAUGUGUGUGUGUGGCUUUGUGGUUCUUGCAUAUCCAGCCAUGGUGAUUCUAUUGGAGAAAGUGGAAGUUGUCGAACCACAAGUCCAGAAGAAGAAUGAUGCAGUACACCCAUACAAUUACAACGUUCCUCUCAAUUCCCCAAGCCAUUUGGUUUUAUUUCCAGUUGCAGAGACAAAAUGGCUCCUUCUUAGCCCGGAAUAUGGCAAUGGUGUGCAGAAUUUUCUAGAUUGAACUGACCAGACCGACUUGAAUCUGGCUGGUCAGAAAAUGCAGCCAGGUCAUGAAUUGGCAUUUCAGAAGACGAAUUGAAUCUAUCAUGAACCAGCCGAGGCAUGGUUGUUAAACAAUUGUCGAAUAUAAUCAAAUUUUUACUGUGAGAAUGA
Prunus mume (Japanese apricot) is the source of this 2999-nucleotide non-coding RNA. NCBI's taxonomy places the organism in Eukaryota, Viridiplantae, Streptophyta, Magnoliopsida, Rosales, Rosaceae. The record is from RefSeq and is a predicted model, not a curated record.